RNAcentral lists this ribosomal RNA (404 nucleotides) under Verrucomicrobiota bacterium. RNAcentral describes it as "Verrucomicrobia bacterium partial 16S ribosomal RNA". It matches the Rfam family "Bacterial small subunit ribosomal RNA", at positions 355 to 776 of the family's 1533-position model. Lineage: Bacteria; Pseudomonadati; Verrucomicrobiota. The record is from RNAcentral.
UGGGGAAUAUUGGACAAUGGGCGCAAGCCUGAUCCAGCCAUGCCGCGUGAGUGAUGAAGGCCCUAGGGUUGUAAAGCUCUUUCACCGGUGAAGAUAAUGACGGUAACCGGAGAAGAAGCCCCGGCUAACUUCGUGCCAGCAGCCGCGGUAAUACGAAGGGGGCUAGCGUUGUUCGGCUUUACUGGGCGUAAAUCGCACGUAGGCGGACUUUUAAGUCAGGGGUGAAAUCCCGGGGCUCAACCCCGGAACUGCCUUUGAUACUGGAAGACUUGAGUUCGAGAGAGGUGAGUGGAAAUCCGAGUGUAGAGGUGAAAUUCGUAGAUAUUCGGAGGAACACCAGUGGCGAGGGCGGCUCACUGGACCAUUACUGACGCUGAGGUGCGAGAGCGUGGGGAGCAAACAGG